Molecule: long non-coding RNA, 1497 nt
Filed under: Scophthalmus maximus (turbot)
Lineage: Eukaryota; Metazoa; Chordata; Actinopteri; Pleuronectiformes; Scophthalmidae
Description: lncRNA (ENSSMAG00000024056.1)
Source: RNAcentral
CUGGAGCUGCCCGUUCAUGGAAACUUCGGCCAAAAAUAAAGGCUCGGUCGACGAGCUGUUCGCGGAGAUCGUGCGACAGAUGAACUACUCGUCUGUCCCCAGCGGCGGCGACAAGUGCUGCUCGUGUGUCCUGUUCUGAAAAGUCAACAACAACAACAACAACAACAAACAAACAAACAGAGAACAGUUUGAGUUCAUAACUUUUAAUUUGGGGCAAAAGUAUUCUCUCUCCUCACACUGUUGUCUUAUUGUUGCCCACAAGCGGGGGAGAAUCGACAACAACAAUCGAUUAUAAUGUAUAAUAGUCUGGAAACGUGUUUACAUGACGAAGUACUUGAAUGUUUUUGGGGAUUUUCUUUCUUGUCGUUGUUUUUAAAUAGCUUUGUAUAUGACACUUCUCUGGAAAUGUGCCUCAAUGGGAAUGUCUUAUUGUGAAAACCUAAGAGACGCGUGAUUUCCGUUUCUUUCUCUCUCUCGCUCUCUCUCUCUCUCUCUCUCUCUGGUCCGAUGGAAGUGGAUUUAUCAUGGAACUUGCACUUAGCUGACGGUGUCCCUCCUCAGUGUGCACAAACGAGGACCUUGGUGCGUUGCUGUCGCUGCGUGGGGAACGCCACGGCCCCAUGUCAAGUGCCUUCCUCAGAAUACUCCUGUGACUGUGCCAACAGAUGAGCCCUAACUUCCUCUGCAGUGCGUCUUGAUGGCAAUCAGAACUUCUUCUUCUUCUUCUUGUUCUUCUUCUUGUCCUCUUUACUCUGACCUGCUGACCGACAUCUCUGUCACUCGUGAAGGUAAUUCAUUACCUCCUGGAAAUGUAUGUAUUCUAAGUCUAAUUGUUCUUAUAUGCUUUGUCUUGUUGUUCUAUACAAUUAUAUUCUAUUUAAUUCCAUUUUAUAUUACUCUUAUUCUUUUUUACUGAAUUCUUGUCUUAUCUUGUCCACAAGACCACCUGAUUAAACCGAGCUUAACAUAGCAUCAUUUUCAAGACAAGGUGACGACAACACACACCAAAACACAACUGUACCUACCGGUGGUCGCUUGCUUCAGCUCCGCUAACUGUUUUUCUGCAUUUUUUAUUUUGGCCUCCAGAAGUCUUCGUUUCUGGCCACAGGGAGAAGCUCGGAUGAGGCUGGAGACCUGAAGACCUGAGCCACACCCAGGUAGAGGUGGCAUGAAGUCAGCAGAGCCACUGCAGUCUUCAUCUUUGAUGGAUUGGUGUUCGCUGUUCAGUUCAGUUCAUCUAUUUAUCCCACCCCAAUCAGGUCACGCCCAGACCUGUUUCUACUGCUUUCAUGACAGAAGUUGUUUUGUUUGUUGAACCCAAGUCAACCUUGUCGAAGGACGUUGAGGUGCAAACUGGCUAUCUCUUUUUCUACAAAGACACCACAUAUUACUGCAUUAUAAUUUACAUGAAUAUCAAAACCAGUAUCCAUUUCCCCCUAUAACCUCCUCAGAACCCGCAAAACAAUAUGCAAAAUUAGAGAGUGAAAGGAAGAUUAG